AUCUAUAUUGCAACGUACAAUUGAACUGUUAUACCUUGUUAAUAUAUGUAUUCCAAAAUUACUUUUAUUGCGAAUUCUUUUGAUUCAAUUCGAGAUACAUGUACCGUUUAUGUACUCAUUUAAUAGACGUCGUAUUUUAACUAUAUCAUGUCAACAUUUUUGUAACCAACAAAUUCAUUAAUUAUUCUUUUUCUUUAAUAGUGUAGUACAUGAUUUGGAAUGGAUAUGUUAGCGAAACAUUCAAAGCAACAAAAAGUACAUACUAGCACCGAAACUAUUAUACUUUUUAGCACCGGAUUUGUAUUUCAAAUAGCACAACUUUAAAAAACCUAUGGAGAUUAUCUUUUAAAGAUUUUAAACAAUGUGUGCUUCAAGAGGAGAAAAUACAAAAAUAAAUGCAACAAACAGACAGUGAAAAUAGUAAAUAUAUAAACUUAUCAAAAGAAUUUUUAACAAAAUAUGAUAUAUGUAUGCAAUAUUUUUUUUAAUACGGUUCGGCUCGACCAAAGGCUCAGAAAUCCAUCAUUGGCUUUAUGAAACAUAGUUUUCAGGCUUGAUUUGUGGUCUAUCUUAAUGAAUAUUAUAUUUGAAUAUUUUGAUGUUUUAGUAUCAAAAUUUUUCAUUCUACUAUUUUGUAUAAUAUAAUAUAUCACAUUGCUUUUUUUUUUGCAUUAAAACAAGUGUAUCUUUUAUUCUUUGGACUUUUUUUAGCUUGUAAAUUAAUCGGUCAGAUUUAUAACGAAUACCUCUGGAAACAUUAGUUGAAUCCGAUAAUGUGAGUUUUUGGUAGGACCGUAUAGACUUUAAUCUAAUCGUUUGUUUUCCUGGGGAUUUUUUUAUUUUAUAAAAGUAAGCUAGUUUGCUGCUGAUUUUGUAUCAACGUAUUUUUUCAUUCAGUGCAUCCAAUCAAAUAUUAAUUAUCUCUCACAUCUAAGGAAAUUGCAUGUUUAUAUACAUUUAAUAAAGCCGUAAAAGCUUUGGAUGGGCGCAUUGCAUUUGCGUCAAUUUUUACAAGGUCCAAGCUUUCUUUUGUUCAGAUUUUAUUUCAUUUACGCCAAAAAAAAAAAAUAAAAAAAAAUAAGACUAUAUUUUCGCUAUUUUAAAUGUAGCAUAUCAAGAAAAAGUUUUAGGAUUCAUUGCUAUAUCAUCAUAGUUAUAUUAUGUUCUGAAAAAUGCUGACAUAUCGUUUAGAAGUACAAAAAAAAAUUGAAAAGCCAGAAUCAUAACAGAACAAUUAUAAAAGCAUUGAACAAAUAAAACCAUGGUGUAGAAGGUAGAAUACCAGCAACUAAGAAUCAUAUCUCGAAAAGAAUCAGGUGACCAUCGAAGUUACUCCCAACGUAACUACAUUCAAGAUAAAUUCUCUUUUUGUUGCCAAAUGCGAAUCAAUAUUGCUUGUACAAUAUGCGUCAAAAUUCAUUUUCAAAAUUAAUCAUAGAUAAAUACAUAUAUAAGCUAUCUUCAAAUAGGCAAAUACAUGUUUUGCAAAUGUAGAAGAACUGUUUGGUACAAACU
RNAcentral lists this long non-coding RNA (1515 nucleotides) under Mytilus galloprovincialis (Mediterranean mussel). Lineage: Eukaryota; Metazoa; Mollusca; Bivalvia; Mytilida; Mytilidae. The record is from RNAcentral.